This 1111-nucleotide long non-coding RNA is filed under the name Panax ginseng (ginseng). RNAcentral's name for it is "long non-coding RNA (PGIN_LNC012581)". The record is from RNAcentral. Lineage: Eukaryota; Viridiplantae; Streptophyta; Magnoliopsida; Apiales; Araliaceae.
UUAUAUUGAACUUCGGUAUAGAGUCUUAGACUCGAUAAGUGCCCGAUAAGGUCGUCGGUACACCGACAUGUUUCAGAAAUUGAUCUGAACUUAGAUAAUUUGAUUGGAUAAGUGUUUGUUUGUGAUUCAAUGACUGCUAAACAUAUAUGACAAUGUGAUUAGGUUAUGUGCUGACUGCAAUAGCAGUACUAUGUGUUAUGAUAUGUAAUUCUAAUCGAUAGAAUGAUCUUACUAAUGAUAGGUCUCGACAUAAAAGAUAAAACUAAGUUGCAUAAUUGUAAGCAGCAGACCAGGCAAGUAUCCUACCUUUGCAUUUACUUUAUGCAAUGGACAUGAGUAAGAAAGUUUCAAAAUUAUAUUAUUAUUGUGCCAGAUUAUUAACCCUAUUGUUAUAUAUAUUAUAUCCGAUCAUUGUUUAUCAACAUAGUAUUAUAUUAUAAUUCAAAUAUUUAUUUUGUUCGUUAAUUUCUAUAUAUGGUUAUACAAGUAUCCUCACUUGGAUAAUUAUUGUAUUUAAUCACAUGUUGAUACACAUUUAUAAAUUUCCAGUAUGUAUAUGUUAACUUAAAAGCUGUUUAAGCUAAUUGAUUUGGCUAGACACAAACUUCUAGAUUAUUGUUGAACAAGAUAAAACCUUACUAUUAUCCAACCGAAUUAUUUUGGUUUCGAAUCCCGACUAAGUAUGAACAUCCCAUACAUGGGAAAACUUUUUGUGCGCCAAAGGCGGAUAGAUGAACGAUAAUAUCGUUCUUGCAUGUAGUAUUGAUCAAUACAGGGCAUAACGGGCUGAUCACCCCCCGUGCCCGUAAGUUAUGACAGUUUGCAGAUGAAGUUCUGUUUAACCUUUUUGAAAACAGAAAACAAUGUUCAUAGUCUGUCGACUAAUCCCCAGUUAUAGUCACUACGUAGUUUCAAAAAUUUGAUAUAGAAUUAAUAUAUUAUUAUUAUUGGUUCAGUUUACUUCACAACCAUUGAUUCAUUGUAGAAGUGUCGUACAAAGAAAACAUUUAAUCCUUUCAGCUAAUAUUUAUAAUUGCUAUUACUUGCUCGGCACCCAAAUGCUCAUCCUUGCUUAAUUUAAAUGUUUUCAGCUAAGUGUGAACAACCUGAA